Molecule: long non-coding RNA, 303 nt
Organism: Monodelphis domestica (gray short-tailed opossum)
Lineage: Eukaryota; Metazoa; Chordata; Mammalia; Didelphimorphia; Didelphidae
Source: RefSeq, a predicted model, not a curated record
GCUACCUCCCGGGUCUCUCAUUGCCUCCCCCACCUUCCCGAGGCCCGACCGGGGCGUUUGGGGCGUUGUGGGCGGCGCCCAAGGGCCUCGCGCUAUCCGCCGUCUCUCUCAAACCAUGGGGUGUCCUCUUCUCUAGCUUGUGCUGAUUCCUGAGAGAAAGCACAUCUAUUCAAGUGUUGGUACAUUGUGUUGAUUGAACUCUGUGAAAAUAAUUCAUGGUGAUGGUAGUUUUCACUCUAAAGACCAUUCUUCAGAUUAACUGCUAUAUAAUCUUGAUGUGAAAUGAAUGCUCUUAUUAUAUAA